NNACAGAUUGAUUAGGUUUAGAAAAGCAAAGAGAUGAAGAACUCCCAAGUUCUUCAAGGUUUGUUUCUACUUUUAAAAGUAGAGAUAAAUUAGCAGUGUCCCGUUCGUCUAGAGGCCUAGGACACCGCCCUUUCACGGCGGUAACAGGGGUUCGACUCCCCUACGGGAUACCAUUGGGUCGUUAGCUCAGUUGGUAGAGCAGUUGACUUUUAAUCAAUUGGUCGCAGGUUCGAAUCCUGCACGACCCACCAUUNNACUGACACUCAGAUGCGAAAGCGUGGGGAGCAAACAGGAUUAGAUACCCUGGUAGUCCACGCCGUAAACGAUGUCUACUUGGAGGUUGUGGCCUUGAGCCGUGGCUUUCGGAGCUAACGCGUUAAGUAGACCGCCUGGGGAGUACGGUCGCAAGAUUAAAACUCAAAUGAAUUGACGGGGGCCCGCACAAGCGGUGGAGCAUGUGGUUUAAUUCGAUGCAACGCGAAGAACCUUACCUACUCUUGACAUCCAGAGAAGCCAGCGGAGACGCAGGUGUGCCUUCGGGAGCUCUGAGACAGGUGCUGCAUGGCUGUCGUCAGCUCGUGUUGUGAAAUGUUGGGUUAAGUCCCGCAACGAGCGCAACCCUUAUCCUUGUUUGCCAGCGAGUCAUGUCGGGAACUCCAGGGAGACUGCCGGUGAUAAACCGGAGGAAGGUGGGGACGACGUCAAGUCAUCAUGGCCCUUACGAGUAGGGCUACACACGUGCUACAAUGGCGCAUACAGAGGGCAGCAAGCUAGCGAUAGUGAGCGAAUCCCAAAAAGUGCGUCGUAGUCCGGAUUGGAGUCUGCAACUCGACUCCAUGAAGUCGGAAUCGCUAGUAAUCGUGAAUCAGAAUGUCACGGUGAAUACGUUCCCGGGCCUUGUACACACCGCCCGUCACACCAUGGGAGUGGGCUGCAAAAGAAGUGGGUAGUUUAACCUUUCGGGGAGGACGCUCACCACUUUGUGGUUCAUGACUGGGGUGAAGUCGUAACAAGGUAGCCCUAGGGGAACCUGGGGCUG
RNAcentral lists this ribosomal RNA (1039 nucleotides) under Vibrio cyclitrophicus. RNAcentral describes it as "bacterial SSU rRNA". The stretch from base 138 to 1039 matches the Rfam family "Bacterial small subunit ribosomal RNA". Lineage: Bacteria; Pseudomonadati; Pseudomonadota; Gammaproteobacteria; Vibrionales; Vibrionaceae. The record is from RNAcentral.